Molecule: long non-coding RNA, 755 nt
Organism: Thunnus maccoyii (southern bluefin tuna)
Lineage: Eukaryota; Metazoa; Chordata; Actinopteri; Scombriformes; Scombridae
Exons: 3
Source: RefSeq, a predicted model, not a curated record
UUUGACUGACAUGAACUGAGUGAACUGGAGGGAAGGGGGGCAGUGAUAGCACUUGGCACACUUGUCUGUUCCACUUCAGUUUGAUCCAUGUGUUGUGAUGCCUGCAGUGUCCUGGUUUGGCCCUCCACCAUCAAGUGACCAACAGUGAAUCCUGGAGGAGUCAAUCACAUCACAAGAGCCAGAUUCAAAGAUCCCAGGAAGAACUAUAAUGGGCUGUUAUGGGGAUUGUUCCUUUCAGGUUUAUAUCAAAAGACACAGAAACACUUGAAGGUAUACAUGAUCCUAAUGUGCAUUCCUGUUCUCUGUGUACUCACUCCUCCUCUGGCUCAAACUUCAAGCAUUUACAGAUCAAAUUUCAGCCUAUCACGCUAUCAUGAAAGGCCUUCUCACUCUUCCUCUUCUCGCUUUCUCUUGCCUUUUUUUUUUUUUUUUUAACCAUCUCGGCUGUUAAUGUUCUUUUGUUUAGCUUGAACGUCUGACUAGAUGAUGUACAGGUUUCCCUCCCCUUUUCUAUGUAUUUUCUUUUAACUCUGCUUCUCAGGCUAAUAAUGCACAAUCACAAGUGCCUACGUGAGCAUAAUGUCAUUACAGUAUUAAAUUUAAUUUACAGUUUUAUGCAUGCAUGAUGUGGUCCCCUGUCUAUGUGUGACUUUCUGAUGCUCUGAUGUCACUGACUGUUCCUCCUACUCCUUCUGGACCCAAUCCUUCUUUGGACAGUCUGGGUUUGCUCCAGCUGGGACAGGAAACCCACUAGC